GUGUCUGGUGGGUAGUUUGACUGGGGCGGUCUCCUCCUAAAGAGUAACGGAGGAGCACGAAGGUUGGCUAAUCCUGGUCGGACAUCAGGAGGUUAGUGCAAUGGCAUAAGCCAGCUUGACUGCGAGCGUGACGGCGCGAGCAGGUGCGAAAGCAGGUCAUAGUGAUCCGGUGGUUCUGAAUGGAAGGGCCAUCGCUCAACGGAUAAAAGGUACUCCGGGGAUAACAGGCUGAUACCGCCCAAGAGUUCAUAUCGACGGCGGUGUUUGGCACCUCGAUGUCGGCUCAUCACAUCCUGGGGCUGAAGUAGGUCCCAAGGGUAUGGCUGUUCGCCAUUUAAAGUGGUACGCGAGCUGGGUUUAGAACGUCGUGAGACAGUUCGGUCCCUAUCUGCCGUGGGCGCUGGAGAACUGAGGGGGGCUGCUCCUAGUACGAGAGGACCGGAGUGGACGCAUCACUGGUGUUCGGGUUGUCAUGCCAAUGGCACUGCCCGGUAGCUAAAUGCGGAAGAGAUAAGUGCUGAAAGC
This 525-nucleotide ribosomal RNA is filed under the name Salmonella enterica. RNAcentral's name for it is "partial 23S ribosomal RNA". It matches the Rfam family "Bacterial large subunit ribosomal RNA", at positions 2254 to 2778 of the family's 2925-position model. The record is from RNAcentral. RNAcentral also lists the same sequence under 1 other name. Lineage: Bacteria; Pseudomonadati; Pseudomonadota; Gammaproteobacteria; Enterobacterales; Enterobacteriaceae.